UUUCUAUCCAACUGGUAACAGGCUAGGUUUCUAUCCAUCUGUUAACAGGCUAGGUUUCUAUCCAACUGGUAACAGGCUAGGUUUCUAUCCAUCUGGUAACAGGCUAGGUUUCUAUCCAACUGGUAACAGGCUAGGUUUCUAUCCAACUGGUAUGGUAACAGGCUAGGUUUCUAUCCAACUGGUAACAAGCUAGGU
Oncorhynchus mykiss (rainbow trout) is the source of this 195-nucleotide non-coding RNA. The record is from RefSeq and is a predicted model, not a curated record. Lineage: Eukaryota; Metazoa; Chordata; Actinopteri; Salmoniformes; Salmonidae.